GGGAUUGUGGUUCAGUGGUAGAGCACUUGCCUCAUAUGCAUGAGGCACUGAGUUUGAUUCUCAGCACCA
RNAcentral lists this transfer RNA (69 nucleotides) under Ictidomys tridecemlineatus (thirteen-lined ground squirrel). Its description in RNAcentral is "Spermophilus tridecemlineatus (thirteen-lined ground squirrel) tRNA". It matches the Rfam family "tRNA". Rfam says of the family: Transfer RNA (tRNA) molecules are approximately 80 nucleotides in length. Their secondary structure includes four short double-helical elements and three loops (D, anti-codon, and T loops). Lineage: Eukaryota; Metazoa; Chordata; Mammalia; Rodentia; Sciuridae. The record is from Rfam by way of RNAcentral.